UGGGCUUCUCCUACAUGGAAAAGGGAAAAGGAAAGAUUGUGCUUUCGAGUCGGUGUCAACUCCUGGCGACCACAGAGCCAUAUGGUUUUCUUGGCAGAAUACAGGAGGGGUUUACCAUUGCCUUCCUCCCGCGUAGUAUGAGAUGAUGCCUUUGCCGUUGUCGAUGAAGUGAGCAUCUGUCACUGAAGUGAGCAUCUGCCUCCAGCACCUUCCGAUAUAGAGCAGCGUGAGUGCCAGCAGUGAAGUAAAAUCAAGUCACACCAGCGAUUAAUUCGUUUCCCCAACAUCCAACAAUGUAUUUAUUUCUCAGAUCAGCAGAAGGAAUAUAUUCUUUUCAUUCAUUUGCACUUCCAUGCCAUUGUCACAGCUGAAAAGAUUCUUCACAGAGGGAGUGCAUUCCACAGUCCAGGAGCGGCUACAGAGAAGGCCCACCUCUGAGUCACCACGAGACGUACCGGUCGUAACUGGAGACGGACCUCCUCAGAUGACCUUAGCGUGCGGUGGGGAUCAUACAGAAGAAGGCGCUCUCUAAGGGUCUCACUAGUGAAUUCAAGUAUAUCUGCUGCGGUACCCACAAACAUAAGAAGCAGCUGUGACAACUGGUCCCGGGUGAUUUCACCGCCAAUGGGAAGAAGCCAUCUCCCAAUGAUAAGGAACAGUAGAAAGGUCUGGUGGAGACCUAGCAUCCAGAUUGGCUCACACACUGCAGAGAGUGUAUUCAAAAGAACUAAGGCCUGUUGCAAAGAACAAUAAAAAUCAAGUAUCAGUAAAUGCAGGAACUGCAGGAAAAUGGAAAAGCAAAGCUAUAGGUGGCAGGUGAGAUUGUUUCAUAGCCUUUUAAACCCAAUGGUCUGGGCUUGCCUAAACAUUUCAGCACAAGCUCCUAAAAGAAAACAUGAUAUUCUGCCAGUUGGGGCCAAUUGACAUGACUGCUCAGCGAAUGACAGCUGUGGAGAACCAGGUCAGUCCAUGUGGUGCUGGUCACAUGAAGCCCAACAUCAUACGCUGAAUGUAACUCUGCAGAUCAUAUGUACAUAUGAAGUCACCGUAUAGUGGACCUAUUGGUUCAUCUAGCCAGCACUGUUUGCUCCGAUAAGCAAUGGCUUUCCAAGAUCUCAGGCUGGGGUCUUUCCCAGCCCCACUAACUGAGAUUUCAGGAAUAGGACCUGAGAUUUACAGGUAAUCUGCCAUUAAGUCAAAGCCCAAGUUAGAGCCACGGGUGGCCAUAUCCAAAUCUGGACAUGCACCUGUAAUGCAAAGUCCUUGAAGUCAGGGACUGGAGAGAUGCAGCAGACAGAAAACCUACUGCUCUGUUGACCAAGCUAGGAAAAGAGUCCAGGCUCCAAGUAUUUAUAUCAGGCCUGGCCAACCCACAGUUUCAAGAUCCGAUUUUGCCCUCUUCUGUACCUGAAGAGGCCCUGAGGACUGAGCACAUACAGUGCCAGGUAUCUUUCUACUUCAAGUGAUGAGGCUUCUGGUUCAAGUUCAAGAUAAUUGGUUAGUCACUCUGGAAGCUUUUUAGCUGUUGUGUUUUUGAAUGAAUGAGUGAAUGGUCUCUCCCCAUCACUUGACUGCAACCACUCAUAUCAACUUUAAGCAACUGGAAAUGGCAGAGACUGAUUUUUAAAUGAACAAAAUAUAAAUAAUCUUUAUACACCAAGGAACAUUCAUAAUAUUGAAAAGAUAUUAUGCAGGGUCUAUCUAAUAUUUCUUCAGCCAUAUUUUGGAAGUAGAUUCCCCCACUUUCUGAACUAUUUUCCCCGUGAUAAAGAUUAAAAAAUCUUUUUAACGUU
This is a long non-coding RNA of Hemicordylus capensis (graceful crag lizard), 1793 nucleotides long. RefSeq lists it as uncharacterized. NCBI's taxonomy places the organism in Eukaryota, Metazoa, Chordata, Lepidosauria, Squamata, Cordylidae. The record is from RefSeq and is a predicted model, not a curated record. The transcript is spliced from 5 exons.